This 20-nucleotide small nuclear RNA is filed under the name Arabidopsis thaliana (thale cress). Its description in RNAcentral is "snRNA_13812". The record is from RNAcentral. Lineage: Eukaryota; Viridiplantae; Streptophyta; Magnoliopsida; Brassicales; Brassicaceae.
GGUUCAGGUUUGGAUAGCUU